RNAcentral lists this ribosomal RNA (599 nucleotides) under uncultured fungus. RNAcentral's name for it is "eukaryotic LSU rRNA". The stretch from base 244 to 397 matches the Rfam family "5.8S ribosomal RNA". Lineage: Eukaryota; Fungi. The record is from RNAcentral.
AAGGAUCAUUAACGAGUAAUCGGGGGAGAGGUCGGUUGUGGGGGUGGCUGUAUGCUGGUGCCUUUGUGGGUGCAUGUGCUCGUCACCCUUGACCUCUAACCCAUCCAACUCCAAACCCCCCAAUCUGUGCACUUUGCUGUGAGGUGUGUCCACCGAGGGAGGUAGACAUCAGCACCUCACGGAACCCCAUCACAAAAACACCUUAACAAGUCGAGUAAGAAUGUAUAAAAAGUUAACAAGUACAACUUUCAACAACGGAUCUCUUGGCUCUCGCAUCGAUGAAGAACGCAGCGAAAUGCGAUAAGUAAUGUGAAUUGCAGAAUUCAGUGAAUCAUCGAAUCUUUGAACGCACCUUGCGCUCCUUGGUAUUCCGAGGAGCAUGCCUGUUUGAGUGUCAUGAAAUUGUCAACCCCAGAGUGCUUUGUGUGCUUCUGUGGAUUGGACUUGGGGGUUUGCCGGCCGCGAGGUUGACUCUCCUUGAAUGCAUUAGCCCAGGGGACCGUCUUUCGGGGGAUCACGGUGUGAUAAGCUUUGCGCCGUUUGCCUCUACUCGACUGCCCCGCUUCUAAUCGUCUUCGGACAAAACUACGUCUAACUUC